GUGCUUGUUUCGGCAGUACAUAUACUAAAAUUGAAACGAUACAGAGAAAAUGAGUAUGGUCCCUGCGCAAGGAUGACACCCAAAUUUGUGAAGAGUUCCACAUUUUU
Molecule: small nuclear RNA, 107 nt
Organism: Molossus molossus (Pallas's mastiff bat)
Lineage: Eukaryota; Metazoa; Chordata; Mammalia; Chiroptera; Molossidae
Source: RefSeq, a predicted model, not a curated record